GUUGGGGUGGGUGUGAUGAAAAUUAUGCCGAGAUCCGUAGAAUAUUUCUGCGUAACUGGAGGAGCUGUGGUGAUGGAUUUCACUUUCAUCUCCGUAUGUGCUCGAUUCAAUUACCUUAACUUGUUGCUGUUGGUCAGGUUGUGAAUCAUUACACAUUGGAGAUAACAACACGCUAGAGUCGAAAUGUCAUAUUGGUGUGAAGUCAGCCAUGACUAGUGGUUGUGUUCUGGGAGCAUGUUGUCAUCUGACCAGUCAAGAAACACUGCCUGAGAAUACGGUAGUGUUUGGCGAGGGCAAUGUGCGUCGAGUGCAAGGUGAUAAGCCCACGGCACCGACAUUACAGCUGGACUUCCUAACGAAGAUAUUGCCAAACUACCAUUACCUGCAGACUUCGCAGUCGGCAGCCCCAGCAGCACCAGCAACAUCUUGACCAAAGUUAUCCUUGUCGUAUCCACCCUAUGUAGUCGUCUGAUUUUGCUGCAAACCAACAUUUGGCUCAACUUCUGCGAAAACCAGGCUUAGGGUGAAAAUCAUUUUUUUGAGAAAAAUGAUGUUUUGUAAAAAGGUUGUGUCGCGUGGACGCUCGAGUGCAGUGAAGUGGAACCAAAGAGAAUCUCGCUUGUUUGAAGAAGUAGCAGUCAUGGCAGGAAGGGUUUCAGCAGUCAGGGAAGUCAAAGGGCUUCCGGUAGAAUAUUCCCUGCUACUCCUCUAGUCACAACGAAGAGUUUUUGAGCUGAUCGAACGGAUUCCAUCUCCUUCACUCAGGGAUGGCGAAAUUUCUGCGCUAGCUGCUGCUUGCGGAAAUGGUGAAGAAAUCGUCUCCAGUUAGAGUCGUGAUGGCGAUAGCGAGGAGAACCUGGACGGCAUCGACCCAGCCACUCGAAGUAUGGAGAUACUAGCUGUUUCUGGGCAUCACGCAAAGGGAACACGCGCAGCAGAGCUCAUACGUUUGCAUCAAGUUCACGAGGAAAAAGGCUAGAAGCGCAGUGUGAAAACUGUUUUGAAUUGAAGUCCUUGGCGAUGAAGUGCUACUGAAUGCCAGGCGAAUGAGCGAGCAGAUCGAGAGGCCUCCUCUCGAGACUUUCCUCGCUGGACAGUUAGCUGCAAGGGAUUGUACGGCGUGCCGAGAUUUCACUUGCUGGUCAGCACCAAGCAGACGCUGCAGCACGCCAGCACACUAUCACUAUGCGCAUACUACGAACAGUGGAACAGUUUGAAAGGCUGUGUUCUUGCUUGUUUUUGAAUAGUUGUACUAGAUUCACCCUUCAAAAGGUGCCAUCUCAACUGGAGUCGGGUUUCCUUGUGGUGUGUAGCGCCAGAGCAUGCCAGCACAUGUAUGCAGCCCCAGAAUGUGCUGAGUGAGGAGCAAACAAAAUUCAUGCAGAACUGUGCAUGGCCACUACAGCCUGCAGCACCAAGGCCAGGGGCCACAACAAGCCUGCCCCCACAUGUCUACCUUGUCAUGUCACCUAAACAAAAAUCAUCCAUGUCUCUUCCUUCACUCUGGUGGAUCUCUCUUCAUUUCUUUCCUGUGAUAACAAUUUUGUGUUUUUUUUGGAUUUUUUAACACAAUACCCUGGUGUGUUUGAGAUACUUUUAAUACCACUAUGAGUCGACCCACACCUGUAAUAUUUUGUUUCCUGACCUCCCAUGCCCAGUAGAAGCUGAAAAUGGGAAAAAGUCAUUUUGUGAAAUUUCA
Molecule: long non-coding RNA, 1699 nt
Organism: Sycon ciliatum
Lineage: Eukaryota; Metazoa; Porifera; Calcarea; Leucosolenida; Sycettidae
Exons: 3
Source: RefSeq, a predicted model, not a curated record